UGUAUAAUGGGUCAGCGACUUAUAUUCUGUAGCAAGGUUAACCGUAUAGGGGAGCCGAAGGGAAACCGAGUCUUAACUGGGCGUUAAGUUGCAGGGUAUAGACCCGAAACCCGGUGAUCUAGCCAUGGGCAGGUUGAAGGUUGGGUAACACUAACUGGAGGACCGAACCGACUAAUGUUGAAAAAUUAGCGGAUGACUUGUGGCUGGGGGUGAAAGGCCAAUCAAACCGGGAGAUAGCUGGUUCUCCCCGAAAGCUAUUUAGGUAGCGCCUCGUGAACUCAUCUUCGGGGGUAGAGCACUGUUUCGGCUAGGGGGCCAUCCCGGCUUACCAACCCGAUGCAAACUACGAAUACCGAAGAAUGUUAUCACGGGAGACACACGGCGGGUGCUAACGUCCGUCGUGAAGAGGGAAACAACCCAGACCGCCAGCUAAGGUCCCAAAGUCAUGGUUAAGUGGGAAACGAUGUGGGAAGGCACAGACAGCCAGGAUGUUGGCUUAGAAGCAGCCAUCAUUUAAAGAAAGCGUAAUAGCUCACUGGUCGAGUCGGCCUGCGCGGAAGAUGUAACGGGGCUAAACCAUGCACCGAAGCUGCGGCAGCGACGCGUAUGCGUUGUUGGGUAGGGGAGCGUUCUGUAAGCCGUUGAAGGUGUGCUGUGAGGCAUGCUGGAGGUAUCAGAAGUGCGAAUGCUGACAUAAGUAACGAUAAAGCGGGUGAAAAGCCCGCUCGCCGGAAGACCAAGGGUUCCUGUCCAACGUUAAUCGGGGCAGGGUGAGUCGACCCCUAAGGCGAGGCCGAAAGGCGUAGUCGAUGGGAAACAGGUUAAUAUUCCUGUACUUGGUGUUACUGCGAAGGGGGGACGGAGAAGGCUAUGUUAGCCGGGCGACGGUUGUCCCGGUUUAAGCAUGUAGGCGGAGGUUCCAGGUAAAUCCGGUACCUUUUAACGCUGAGGUGUGAUGACGAGGCACUACGGUGCUGAAGUAACAAAUGCCCUGCUUCCAGGAAAAGCCUCUAAGCAUCAGGUAACACGAAAUCGUACCCCAAACCGACACAGGUGGUCAGGUAGAGAAUACCAAGGCGCUUGAGAGAACUCGGGUGAAGGAACUAGGCAAAAUGGUGCCGUAACUUCGGGAGAAGGCACGCUGAUAUGUAGGUGAAGCCCCUGCGGGUGGAGCUGAAAUCAGUCGAAGAUACCAGCUGGCUGCAACUGUUUAUUAAAAACACAGCACUGUGCAAACACGAAAGUGGACGUAUACGGUGUGACGCCUGCCCGGUGCCGGAAGGUUAAUUGAUGGGGUUAGCGGCAACGCGAAGCUCUUGAUCGAAGCCCCGGUAAACGGCGGCCGUAACUAUAACGGUCCUAAGGUAGCGAAAUUCCUUGUCGGGUAAGUUCCGACCUGCACGAAUGGCGUAAUGAUGGCCAGGCUGUCUCCACCCGAGACUCAGUGAAAUUGAACUCGCUGUGAAGAUGCAGUGUACCCGCGGCAAGACGGAAAGACCCCGUGAACCUUUACUAUAGCUUGACACUGAACACUGGUCCUUGAUGUGUAGGAUAGGUGGGAGGCUUUGAAGCGUG
RNAcentral lists this ribosomal RNA (1575 nucleotides) under Enterobacter asburiae. RNAcentral's name for it is "partial 23S ribosomal RNA". It matches the Rfam family "Bacterial large subunit ribosomal RNA", at positions 609 to 2166 of the family's 2925-position model. The record is from RNAcentral. Lineage: Bacteria; Pseudomonadati; Pseudomonadota; Gammaproteobacteria; Enterobacterales; Enterobacteriaceae.